UGUCGUAGGGGCCUGGUCCGUGAGGGACUGCUAAGGAAGAGGCUGCAUGGCGCGGUAGUCCCCCGAGUGGAGGUCGGCUGCCCCUGGGAAACCAGAGAGUCGGAGGGAGUCCAUCUGGAGCGGCCAAGUGGUGACUUUCAAAAGGAAAUAGGAUCAUGGCAGCAGAUGAUGACAAUGGUGAUGGAACAAGUUUAUUUGAUGUCUUUUCUGCUUCUCCUCUUAAGAACAAUGAUGAAGGCUCACUGGACAUAUACGCUGGGUUGGACAGUGCUGUUUCUGACAGCGCUUCUAAAUCCUGUGUACCAUCAAGAAAUUGUUUGGACUUAUAUGAAGAGAUCCUGACUGAAGAAGGAACUGCAAAGGAGGCAACAUAUAAUGAUUUGCAAGUAGAAUAUGGAAAAUGUCAACUACAAAUGAAAGAGCUGAUGAAAAAGUUUAAAGAAAUACAGACACAGAAUUUCAGCUUAAUAAACGAAAACCAGUCUCUUAAGAAGAAUAUUUCAGCACUUAUCAAAACUGCCAGAGUGGAAAUAAACCGCAAGGAUGAAGAAAUAAGUAAUCUUCACCAAAGAAAUGAUGACCGGGAAAUUUUAUUGGAGUGUCAGAAAAGAGGGCCAUCAUUUAAAACAUUUGCAUAUUUAGCCGCCAAGUUGGAUAAAAAUCCAAAUCAGAUAAGUUGCUGAAUUCCUGGGACUCUUAAUUGAUAUUGCAUACUACACAGAAGCUUCAAAUUCCUCAUGUUUUAAAUGAGCACUAGAGGGAGGUUUAUCACCUUUUUGGUUACCAGAUGAUAAUCUAUAUUUGUUAUUACUCAGUGACUCUCUAAUUUCACAUCAGCAUGUUCAGCUUGUUCUAGUCAUCAUUCUGAUUUGCUUAUCUGUUUUUGGUCAAAAUAUUUAUUUUUAAACAUGUUAGAACUUACCAAAAUGAAAGCAACAGUGAUGUAUUGAAAUCUUAGUUUUGAUAUUUUAAAGAAAUGACUUUCUAGAUUAAAAAAAUAGUUUUGUAGCAUUUUAAACUUAGUGACUAUUUAGUUCAAGUGUUCAUCCAUUUUUUAUUUGCUUUUAUAAUUGCCUCCUUGUUUUGGUAUAUUGUAAAAUAAUUUAAAUAAUGUAUUUAUAAAUAUGUAUAAUUAUGAUGUAAAAUACCGUGUGUAUAUGUAUGUAUGUGUGUUUCUGUAUAUGCACACACAUAAAUGGCUUUGCCUAGCCAAGGAUUUUUUUUAUCUGUAUAAAACUUUUUGUAUAAAGUUUGCUUUCAAUAACAGUAAUGUAUAAUAAAACCAUGUAAAGUUUUGUUG
RNAcentral lists this small RNA (1300 nucleotides) under Pan troglodytes (chimpanzee). RNAcentral describes it as "processed transcript". Lineage: Eukaryota; Metazoa; Chordata; Mammalia; Primates; Hominidae. The record is from RNAcentral.